Long non-coding RNA from Pyrus x bretschneideri (Chinese white pear), 368 nucleotides. RefSeq lists it as uncharacterized. The transcript is spliced from 3 exons. NCBI's taxonomy places the organism in Eukaryota, Viridiplantae, Streptophyta, Magnoliopsida, Rosales, Rosaceae. The record is from RefSeq and is a predicted model, not a curated record.
CUUCUCUUCUUCUUCCCCGUGACAACACACACACACACACACACCCACAACUACACCUACUCGAGGAAAUCAUCACCAUCAUCGCCAUUCAACUGCAUCUCUCUCUCUCUCUCUCUUUCCCCUGCUCGCGGCGCCGGGAGGACACGAACACCUCCGGCGAGUUUUGGUUGUUUUCCGAUUGGGUUUUGGAGUGUUUUUGGCACGGGUGAGUGCACACCCAAUUUUCCGGCGAGCACCGCCCCUUUCGAGGCAAUUUCCGGCCAAACCACGGCGAGUUGGCCGGCGUGCGAGUUCCGGCGGACACCGGUGGCUUCCAGGCUGUUUUCCGGCCAACUCCGGCCACAAUGACAGGAACCAAGGGUAUAUUU